This 253-nucleotide ribosomal RNA is filed under the name uncultured bacterium. RNAcentral's name for it is "partial 16S ribosomal RNA". It matches the Rfam family "Bacterial small subunit ribosomal RNA", at positions 524 to 776 of the family's 1533-position model. The record is from RNAcentral.
UACGAAGGGGGCUAGCGUUGCUCGGAAUCACUGGGCGUAAAGGGCGCGUAGGCGGGCCGCGUAGUCGGUGGUGAAAUCUUUCGGCUCAACCGGAAAAUCGCCUCCGAUACUGGCGGCCUCGAGGGGGGUAGGGGCAUGCGGAACUUCGGGUGGAGCGGUGAAAUGCGUAGAUAUCCGAAGGAACGCCGGUGGCGAAAGCGGCGUGCUGGACCCCUUCUGACGCUGAUGCGCGAAAGCCAGGGGAGCGAACGGG